Molecule: small nucleolar RNA, 106 nt
Filed under: Gossypium arboreum
Lineage: Eukaryota; Viridiplantae; Streptophyta; Magnoliopsida; Malvales; Malvaceae
Description: Plant small nucleolar RNA R71
Rfam family: Plant small nucleolar RNA R71
About the family: R71 is a member of the C/D box family of snoRNAs containing the C (UGAUGA) and D (CUGA) box motifs.
Source: Rfam by way of RNAcentral
AACCUAUGGCGAGGGCAUCGUGUCAAGAGAUCCUUGUAUCUCUCCAUGCAUCGUACAAUGUCUCUAAAUCCAUCUGCACAAAAGAAGAGAUAUCAUUACGUAAUUU